GGAGAACGCUGGCGGCGUGCCUAAUACAUGUAAGUCGAGCGGAGUUAGUUUGUAGCUUGCUACAAAAUAACUUAGCGGCGGACGGGUGAGUAACGCGUGGAAAACCUGCCUUAUUCAGGGGGAUAAUAAAGGGAAAGAUGUGCUAAUACCGCAUAACAUAUAGUAGUGGCAUCACUAUUAUAUCAAAGGAGCAAAUCGGUAGAAGAUGGAUCCGCGUACGAUUAGCUAGUUGGCAGGGUAAAGGCACACCAAGGCGACGAUCGGUAGCCGAACUGAGAGGUUGAGCGGCCACAUUGGGACUGAGACACGGCCCAGACUCCUACGGGAGGCAACAGUGGGGAAUAUUGCGCAAUGGGGGAAACCCUGACGCAGCAACGCCGCGUGAAGGAUGAAGGCUUUCGGGUUGUAAACUUCUUUAGUCGGGGACGAAAAAAUGACGGUACCCGAAGAAUAAGCCACGGCUAACUACGUGCCAGCCGCCGCGGUAA
This 488-nucleotide ribosomal RNA is filed under the name uncultured bacterium. Its description in RNAcentral is "partial 16S ribosomal RNA". It matches the Rfam family "Bacterial small subunit ribosomal RNA", at positions 28 to 523 of the family's 1533-position model. The record is from RNAcentral.